RNAcentral lists this long non-coding RNA (2245 nucleotides) under Capsicum annuum. RNAcentral's name for it is "long non-coding RNA (CANN_LNC021567)". Lineage: Eukaryota; Viridiplantae; Streptophyta; Magnoliopsida; Solanales; Solanaceae. The record is from RNAcentral.
UGAAAAUCAAACAAAAUAAUUUUAAAAUCUCCAAGCCCCGAAAGUCAUCGUACAAAAGCUUCUAAAUAAAGAUCAUUUCUAAAAGAGAUAUUCAAAAAUAAAGAAAAUAAACAAUGUUUCAUUGUCCGAAAGAUGGACAAAAAUAAAUAUGAUGGUCCAAGACAGCCUGGAGACGGAGUGCUCACUCUUGGAUCGAAAUCUGUUAUCAAACACUAGAGGUGAGGUCUUGUCUGGGCCUCUGUGACACUUUCUGCACUCAACAAAAGAAGAGUACAUGAUAGUAUCAGUAUAAACCACUAUAUAUUGGUAGGUAUCAUAGGCUAACUCAAUUUAAUAGCAUGUACACAAUAUAAAUUAAAUAAUAAGUAGACAAGCAUCGGCACAUAACAAAUAUUCAAUGAAUCAAUAAUACAGCAACAACAGGUCAAAUAGUGCUUACGAACAAGCUACAUAAACAUCAAGAGCAUCAACCAUAUUGUAAACAACCACAGAAUCAACAAUAAUGCCAUAAAUAAUAACCAUAUCCUUCUAAAACUUGCAAUUAGAACACCAUUAGCUCGUUAUCUGCUUAAUAACCCUUACAACCUCUUAAAUUCAACACAAAUAUGUACACACAUGCUAUGAGACUUAUUUUUGCCCAACUUGUCAUGAACGUGCAGGGAACAAUCAAUGUUCAUGUACCGUAUCGGUGCGAUAGCCGAUCCUCAAUAACAAGUAAUAUCAAUAUCACAUUCGUACUGGCGUGGUACCCGAUCUUCCAUAAACAAGUAACAUCAAUGUCAUAUUCGUACCGACGUGGUACCCGAUCCUCCACAAUCAAGUAACAUCAAUAUACAUAUCUGUACUGACGAGGUACCCGAUCGUCCAUAAAUAAGUAAUAUCAAUUACAUAUCCAUAUCGGCAUGGUAUUCGAUCCUCCACAAUCAAGUAACAUCAAUAUACAUAUCCGUACCGAUGUGGUACCCGAUCUUCCAUAAACAAGUAACAUCAAUGUACAUAUCCUUACCGGAGUGGUACUCAAUAGUCUAUAAACAAGUAAUAUCAACAUCAUAUUUGUAUUGGCAUAGUACCCGAUCCUCCAUAAACAAGUAACAUCAAUAUCAUAUUUGUACCGGCGUGGUACCUGAUCCUUCAUAAACAAGUAACGUCAAUAUCAUAUCAGUACCGGCGUGCUACCCGAUCCUCCAUAAUCAUAUCAGGUAUGUUUUAUCAAAUUCACACUACAUCUCCAGAUACAAUACAAGUACACUUAAAGUCAUAGAUAAUUUCAUCAAGGAAAUUUUCAAUAAUUAUUUAUACACAUCUCAACAAUCCAAAUAUCAUCAAAUUCAAGAACGUCCGAAUACCAAUCAACAAGCAUCUAAUUUAGGAACAUACACACAAUUUAAUUGAGUCUAAACUCCAAUUAAACCUUAAUCUACCUCAACCGAAGAAUUCAAAUGCAAUCUAAUUUGCAAGGGUUUUACCCUUCCGUAAAGCUUCUGAAUGAUCAAAAUCUGUGCAAAUAUAUAAUCUACAUAAGACUAUGAACUAGUACGUUAAAUUUCAACUAAAAUGGGUCAUCAUUCGAUCUCCAAUUUUAAUAAAAUUUUACACUAAGGACUCCAGACUUAAGCCUCAAUUCUAUAAAUUUUGAAAUCUAAGAUAAUACACGAACAAUAUUAAACUGCAAAAUUGUUAAUAAAGUUGAAACGCAUUAGCCAUAAAUCAAUUCUAUCACUAAUUCUCAAUUGUCGUCGUUGUCUUAGUAAAUUAACUGUAGCCAAAAUCAUCACUUCAUCCAUGUUGCGUUAAUCCAGUAGUGAAAUUUAUACUAACUCCUAACAAUUUUUCACUAAUCCUAGCAGACUACCACUACUAAAUACAUUAUAAUUAUAUAAUCUUUCUAAUCAUUCCAAUUCAAAUCUAAUCUUACUGAUUACUAUAUUAUUAUAUAAUAUUACUAAGUAACUCAAUUAAAUACCGAUAUCAUGAAAAACUUUACCAAUUCAAUCCUAUUUUGAUCACAACAAAAAGAACUAACAAACACAAUUGGGUCAUUGCCCCUCACGUUACUGCCACUGUGUUUUAUUAUGGUGCUUAAACUACUGAUCCAUAGAAUUCUAACCCAUAGCCUAUAGAUGAUUAAGACAUUGUAAGCGUAAAGUCAAAACCUCGAAAUCAAACUUAACAACUAACCUCAAGCUAGUUCGAGGGAGAUCUCCUUCAAGUCUCCUUGGUAUAAAUGGUAUUGUGUUAACUCUCU